RNAcentral lists this non-coding RNA (23 nucleotides) under Mus musculus (house mouse). Lineage: Eukaryota; Metazoa; Chordata; Mammalia; Rodentia; Muridae. The record is from RNAcentral.
AAUAAACCCUGUAGAGAUCGAUC